Drosophila subpulchrella is the source of this 300-nucleotide long non-coding RNA. RefSeq lists it as uncharacterized. The record is from RefSeq and is a predicted model, not a curated record. Lineage: Eukaryota; Metazoa; Arthropoda; Insecta; Diptera; Drosophilidae. The transcript is spliced from 2 exons.
GUAUUUCUCCGACAGAAAUCGUUUAGUUAUUUUCUAUCAUCAAGAAUGGUUGCAUUGAAAGUUCUGAUUGUUGGGAUCGUGUUCCUGCUGAGCAUUGUCCAGCUUAUGGCCAGCCUCCCCACCUAUUCAAAAUUUCCGGUUUUAGGCGGGUGCGGCGUAUUUUGCUAUAACAAGAAUUCCAUUGAUUCUUCGCCCCAUUGAUGCCACUAAUGGACAGAAUAAUAUAACAUUUAUAAUAGUACAUAUAAAAUCAAUGCGCUGCUUAUAAAAGUUAUUGAAUUGUCGAAAUAAAUAAAUAAA